UACGUAGGUCCCGAGCGUUGUCCGGAUUUAUUGGGCGUAAAGCGAGCGCAGGUGGUUUAAUAAGUCUGAUGUAAAAGGCAGUGGCUUAACCAUUGUACGCUUUGGAAACUGGAGGACUUGAGUGCAGAAGGGGAGAGUGGAAUUCCAUGUGUAGCGGUGAAAUGCGUAGAUAUAUGGAGGAACACCGGUGGCGAAAGCGGCUCUCUGGUCUGUAACUGACGCUGAGGCUCGAAAGCGUGGGGAGCAAACAGG
Molecule: ribosomal RNA, 252 nt
Filed under: uncultured microorganism
Description: partial 16S ribosomal RNA
Rfam family: Bacterial small subunit ribosomal RNA
Source: RNAcentral